CCUACGGGUGGCAGCAGUGAGGAAUAUUGGUCAAUGGCCGGAAGGCUGAACCAGCCAUGCCGCGUGAAGGUCAGUGCCCUAUGGGCGUUAAACUUCUUUUGUGCGGGAGCAAUAAUGGUCACGUGUGGCCAGACGAGAGUACCGUACGAAUAAGCAUCGGCUAACUCCGUGCCAGCAGCCGCGGUAAUACGGGGGAUGCAAGCGUGAUCCGGAUUUAUUGGGUUUAAAGGGUGCGUAGGCUGGGAGGUAAGUCAGCGGUGAAAUGCCCCGGCUCACCGGGGUGAAGUGCCAUUGAUACUGCCGUGCUGGAAUGCGCAUGCCGUGGGAGGAAUGUGUGGUGUAGCGGUGAAAUGCAUAGAUAUCACACAGAACACCGAUUGCGAAGGCAUCUCACGAGUGCGCGAUUGACGCUGAUGCACGAAAGCGUGGGUAUCAAACAGGAUUAGAUACCCUGGUAGUC
This 460-nucleotide ribosomal RNA is filed under the name uncultured bacterium. Its description in RNAcentral is "partial 16S ribosomal RNA". It matches the Rfam family "Bacterial small subunit ribosomal RNA", at positions 338 to 795 of the family's 1533-position model. The record is from RNAcentral.